GGGCCUAUAGCUCAGUUGGUUAGAGCGCUGUCCUGAUAAGACAGAGGUCGCUGGUUCAAGUCCAGCUAGGCCCA
This 74-nucleotide transfer RNA is filed under the name Dermabacter hominis. Its description in RNAcentral is "tRNA-Ile". It matches the Rfam family "tRNA". From Rfam's summary of the family: Transfer RNA (tRNA) molecules are approximately 80 nucleotides in length. Their secondary structure includes four short double-helical elements and three loops (D, anti-codon, and T loops). RNAcentral also lists the same sequence under 1 other name. Lineage: Bacteria; Bacillati; Actinomycetota; Actinomycetes; Micrococcales; Dermabacteraceae. The record is from RNAcentral.